AGCAGCCGCGGUAAUUCCAGCUCCAAUAGCGUAUAUUAAAGUUGUUGCAGUUAAAAAGCUCGUAGUUGAAUUUCGGGACCAAUCUGCCGGUCGUGCCUCCGGUACGCACUGGUUUUAUUGGUUUCUCCCUUCUGACGAACCAUGAUGUCAUUAAUUUGGUGUCAUGGGGAAUCAGGACUGUUACUUUGAAAAAAUUAGAGUGUUUAUAGCAGGCUCACGCUUGAAUACAUUAGCAUGGAAUAAUGAAAUAGGACGUUUGACCCUAUUUUGUUGGUUUCUAGGAUCGACGUAAUGAUUAAUAGGGAUAGUUGGGGGCAUUAGUAUUCAAUUGUCAGAGGUGAAAUUCUUGGAUUUAUUGAAGACUAACUACUGCGAAAGCAUUUGCCAAGGAUGUUUUCAUUAAUCAAGAACGAAAGUUAGGGGAUCGAAGACGAUCAGAUACCGUCGUAGUCUUAACCAUAAACUAUGCCGACUAGGGAUCGGAUGAUGUAAUUUUUAAUGACUCAUUCGGCGCCUUAAC
Molecule: ribosomal RNA, 520 nt
Filed under: uncultured Glomus
Lineage: Eukaryota; Fungi; Glomeromycota; Glomeromycetes; Glomerales; Glomeraceae
Description: SSU rRNA
Rfam family: Eukaryotic small subunit ribosomal RNA
Source: RNAcentral